Long non-coding RNA from Salvelinus namaycush (lake trout), 1381 nucleotides. RefSeq lists it as uncharacterized. The transcript has 6 exons. The record is from RefSeq and is a predicted model, not a curated record. NCBI's taxonomy places the organism in Eukaryota, Metazoa, Chordata, Actinopteri, Salmoniformes, Salmonidae.
GUUUCCUCCCCUGCAAAAAUACUGACGUUCUGGAAGAUUGACAACCAGAAAUGGGAGUUGACGCGCCAAGAGUCUACUCUCCACCACGAACUUGAUAGGCGCCCUGCUACGAAAAUCCAUACAAGAAACGUUCCACCGGUAUCUUUGAGUCUUAAAACACGCUUCUUAUGCUCCGCAGACACACACAAAACCACUUCUUGUGGCUCACAACGAUUUUCACUUCUUGUGACUGUCACCCAGAUUUUCCUCGAGACGUUAAACGGAUUUCCAAACAUGGCAGGACCGCUGGCUGCUGACUGAUACACUGAUCCAGACAGCCUAUUUCCAGCUGAAUGUGACCAAUAGCAUUUGAUUUGAAGGUGUGUCUCAACCCCCAGUGUCUGGCCCUACACAGCUUCACCGACCUCCACCCAGGCCUGUUCAACAUUGGCAACAGGUUGUUGGUGAAUGCGGAUCUAUUCUUUAAACUCUGGAGCAAGCUCAGACUGGGCCAGCAUCCUAACCAGGCAGUCAGGACAAAUCCUGGACUACAUCCACAACCACCCUGUCAAAUCUCUGAGACCCGAGGAGUUGGCCAAUGUCCAGGAGCUGCUGGUUAGUGGCUACUGGGCCUUUGAGUGUCUGACGGUGAGGGACUACAAUGACAUGAUCUGUGGUGUGUGUGUGGCAUCGCCCCCAAGAUGGAGAUGUACCAGCGGUAAUACACACACAAUGUGCUGGAGCUCAGGAAUGUGGAGUUUACGUGGCCAGACUUCGGGGCUCCAGAUGAGGUGCAUGUGGAUGACUUCUGACUGACCAUGGAGAGUGAGGCCAUUGAGCAGGCAGCGUUCCCCUGCAGCGUCGCCAUCACACGGGUUGACGCAUCUAUCAUCGCCCCCCUUCAUCCCCCCACUGAGGAGGGGCUCCACCGUCAUCAACACAGAGAAGGACAAGGCCCUACUACUCACACAACACAGUUGUGGUGCGUCUGAUCCACGAGGGCCAGCUCAGACGAUACCGGUUGGACGAGCACAGUGCAAAGGAGCUCAAAGCCAUACGGGACUGCUGUGGAGAGAUGGCUGCAACCAGAGAGCAACAAGGAUGAGUUGCUGGUCUCUCUCAUCUCCCUGUAUAUACGUGUUCAGAACGGCCUCUUCGCGACACCCUCCACACCUCACCGCAGGCGAGCUGUCCAAGAUCUGCCUCCAUCAGUUAGCCGCAUACAACUCACCAGUCAAUCCAUCCAGUAGAAUAUCAAUCAGUCAAUCAGUCAUCCACCAUAAUCCAUUCAACUAUUGCUCAGUUUGUCACGUUCCUGACCUAUUUCUGUUAGUUUGUUGUAUGUGUUAGUUGGUCAGGACGUGAGUUUGGGUGGGCAUUCUAUGUUUUCUGUUUCUAUGUU